ACUAACCGCUUGAGCUAUGGCGCGGCCUAAAGUAAACCUAUACAGCUGAGUUGAAUAGUUUACCUCUUGAACUACCGGGGUCGGUUGCAUGUCCUACAAUAUCAGCUGAGCGUAGUUUGCAACAGUAAUUUACACUGUAGUCAACCUUGGGCGUUCUGCAAGAACGGUUUGUGUACGGAGACUGCGCCCUUGGACAGUCUGCAACGUGGUGGCGUGUCAGGAAGUCUGCUACACUCCACAGUGAGUAAAUCGCUUUGCUCUAGACCGCCACAAUGGAACGCGAGGACGCGAGGUCAACAGAAGGGUUGCUGCCCAACCAUGAUGGUGCAGAGUUGAUGGAUGAACUGAUACAGCAAGUGGAUGCUGUGGGCGGCUUCCAGAAGCUCUUCAACGGUCUCUUCAACUUCUGUGCUGUAGCGGUUGGUGUCACGAGUGUGUACACUUUGGUUCUUGCAAUGGAAGUGCCCGACCACUGGUGUUACGUACCUGGAAGAGCAUCAACUAAUUUUAACCCAUCGGAAUGGAAAAAUCUCACAUUACCAAGGGGCAGGGGCAGUGAGGAAAAUAAUGCCUACAGCAAAUGUGAAAUGUACAACUUAACAGGGCCGAUGAUCUGGGCUCGUAAUACAAGCGGCGUCAAUGUUACCAGCUGUCAGUAUGGGUGGGAAUACGACCGGAGGUGGUUUUCCAGAACAGUCCCUUCGCAAGAAAACUGGGUGUGUGACAAAAGUUUAUACGUCACAAACACUUUCGUUGCCACGCAGAUUGGAGAAGCCGUGGGCACCAUCUCGUUUGGACAUAUGUCAGACACCAUAGGCCGGCGACCUGUGUUCCUUUUGGCGCUCACCCUGCUGAUUGUGGGCCGCGGGUUAUCCGUAGUGGCGGCUCCUCAUUACUACCUGUACCUCGUCACAGUCUUCAUCGGACACAGCUCUCUGUCGUCCCUUUGUUUUGCUGCCACCACCACCGGUAUAGAGCUGUCUUCCGCCGAAAGCAGGGCCAGAGUUGUGAUGCUGCAGUCACUGGGCUGGACAGGAGGAAUGUGUCUCGUACCGCUGGUGGCCUGGCUUACAGGCGAUUGGGUCAGCUUCGUUCUCCUGCCUCUCUUCCCGGCAGUCGCCAUCUUAAUCUGCGCCCAGAGUUUAUUCCCGGAGUCGCCCCGAUGGCUGGCGAGUGGGGGAAAGAUCUUACGGUGCAUGAGGUCCUUAAGGUACAUCGCCAGGAUAAACAAGCAGCUCUUGCCGGCUAGUGCUGAGGACACCUUGCGCAACUUUGCGGAGCAGAGCAAGGGCGUUGUGUACGGCCCGGCCAGCUUCAUGUCUAGCGUGAGACUAGCCACGAACACCGUCCUCCUCGUCAUCUGUUGGAUGCUGAACGCUGCCUCCUACAUCAUACUGCUACUCAACGUGAACAACAUGUCCGGAAACCCGUACUACAAUUUCUUCUGGCAGUCUGCAGUUGAGUUCCCAGCCGGAUUCGCUGCCAAGUGGCUGAGUGAUCGGCUCGGAAGGAGAUCGACGCACACCGUCACGUUCCUCGUUGUCGGCGUCUCAUGUUUCGGCGUCACAAGAAUCGUAAACAAACCGAGUUUACACGAUCUAAGCACUGCAGUUGUAAUCUUCAUCAAGUUCUGCAUUACCAUAACAAAUUUCGUGUGCUACCUGCAGGCUAUGGAGAUAUUCCCUACUUGCCUCAGGCAGACUGGAAUGUCCUUUGCUAACCUAGCAGGAAAUGUGGCAAGUGUUCUCGCCCCUUACGUGGUGUACUUGGGCUCUCACUUGAACCAGAAGUACCCUUACAUCGUGCUAGGCUCGAUGGCCAGUCUUGGGACUAUAGCCACAGCCUUCCUACCAGAAACCCUCAACAGAAAGCUACCAGACAACAUCAAAGACGCAAAGUAUUUCGGAUUAAAUCAGAAAUUUUGGAGUUUCUUCCAGGAGGCUUCUGCAGACCCACAGCGCAUGCGUGUCAACUGAAGCAAAGAAGACAGGAAGCAGUGAGUUCAUGCGAAUCAGAACUGCCAGUAGUCCUCAGGUUGGACAACCUUGCUAUAUGUUAGUGACCAUGGCGACUCCAAUUAACACCAGCAGCCACACUUUGUUGAUUCCUGACGGAGGGCAAAUCUACAAUAACAGUAUUCCCCCAAGACAUCAGCUACAGCGGAACAGGAAAUUAUCUAUAUUACUGAAAAUGAUACAGCUUCUGAUGGCCAUCGCGUGUCUCGUAUUGUUCUCUGCUGGAGGACAACUGUUCUCUGACAUCAAAAGAACCGCCUUCACAUACGGAACUUUCGGAGCCUAUAUCAUCAUCCCCGUGUUCUUGAUUACGGGGUUCAUCAUAGGAGAAGUGACGCCAGUUCUACUGGUGGGGUACAAUUUAUUCGGUGCAGUCCUGUUUGCUUUCGUGGGGUCACUUGGGGUGGAUUCAUGGUGGAGUGUACACAUUGACUUGGAUCACAUCUCCACGAAGAACGUUUCUGUGAUCGAACGCUUGAACGACAUGAAGUUGAUGUCCGCCAUCUUGUCUCUCACCAACACUGUCUUCUAUGCAGCAGACACUGUCAUCGAGGGCGUCAUCCUUCAUGACUUAUAUAUGAGAAAUUAAGAUAUCAGCUGUGAAUGUGUUGGUUUAUAUUUACGACUGACAGAACUGAUGUAGAGUUCAUGUCCGUUUGAAAGUCGGACAUAAAUAUAGGCCGUAUAUUUUUAGAUCGCAAUGACACUGUCUAUAACAACCUUAUAUAAGAGACACUAAAAAUGUAAUUAAUACACUGAAAGUUCUUGUUAAAUACAUUAAAAUGUCAUUUUAAAGUAUUUAGGAAGAAUUCUUAUUGUUAAAUUUAUUUUUAGAUUAUUUUAUAUAAUGUCAUUGUUGCAUUACAGACGGUAUACUUACGAUCUAAAAAUGAUGCCACAACGCAACAGGAAGCUGAAAUAUAAUAGACCAUAUAUAUUGAACGUUUUUAUCUACAGUCACUUCGUCUAAUCACAUUACUGUAUUGAAUUAUGACGGAGAGAAAGUUAAGGUUAAUAAUUACAUGAACAUUUACUGUUUCAUAAAUUAUGUUAAUGUAUUUGCCCAUGGGCGCCAUCGAAUACAGGGUUAAACCGGAUAUCUGCACUUCGCCUGAAAUUUGAAAACUAUAUCAUAUUUGAAGAAGCAAAGGAAAUGUA
RNA transcript from Cryptotermes secundus, 3173 nucleotides. It is a transcript of the gene named beta-alanine transporter, with no coding region annotated. Lineage: Eukaryota; Metazoa; Arthropoda; Insecta; Blattodea; Kalotermitidae. The record is from RefSeq and is a predicted model, not a curated record. The transcript has 13 exons.